This 2468-nucleotide unclassified non-coding RNA is filed under the name Polistes dominula (European paper wasp). RNAcentral's name for it is "tetraspanin-1, transcript variant X4". Lineage: Eukaryota; Metazoa; Arthropoda; Insecta; Hymenoptera; Vespidae. The record is from RNAcentral.
UCGGCGCGGAUGAGCACAAAUGCGCUACGAACGGCGCCGAAAGCGGAUUGGAUUUCCAGACGUAUUAAAACAAUAAUUUAUAACGCGCGGGGUUAUAGUGUAAUACAGAACGCGGCACAAAUGCCGCUUGCAAAUUAUAUACGUACGUGAUCAAAUAAUUAAGUGAAUUAUUAUUGACAAGAAAACAAGAGCGACAGUGUAUGUAUAUCGAUAGUGUAUACGACAAGUGGUAUUAUCGUGAUUGGUGUGUAGUAGGAAACAACGCAGAGGACAUCGAGAAAGAGCUGGACCAAACCUUGUAGAUUUUUACAUCUAUCUCUUUCUUUAUUUCUCUCUUUCUCUCUCUCUCUCUCUCUCUCUACUUUAUUAACGUCAUUGAACCGACUGGGUCGGAACUCGUACCCGGGUCUUCCGCAUUCCGGUCGACUGUUUUCAUCUUUCAGCAAUCCAGGGCCUUCCAUAUUACGAAGUUCUAAAAAUCCAAAUCUCAAAAAUGGGUUGCGCCUCACAGUGUGCCAAGUACUUUUUGUGCUUUUUCAACUUUGUCUUUUUUGUCGCUGGCGGAGCAGCAUUGACCGUUGGUAUCUGGUUGUUUGCCGACAGGAGCUCCUUCACGAACAUCAUCGCAACACUCGAUCAGUCCGAUAUUUUGACAAAAACGGAUACCGAUGUUAUAAGAAUGAUGUCCUACAUCCUAAUCAUUGCCGGUGCCCUUACGUUCAUUGUUAGCUUUUUAGGGUAUUGCGGUGCAAUGUUCGAAUCUAGAUGUCUUCUCUGUGUCUAUGGCGUCCUUCUUUUAUUGGUUUUGGUCCUGGAAUGUGUGGUGGUUGGCCUUGCGUUUGGACUAAAAGGAGACGCGGAAAAAGGUACACAAAGUUUCUUGAAGUCGACAAUCAAGUAUUACGCAGCAAGUGUGGAUCAGACCGAAACCGUGACAGUUGCGUGGGAUGGUAUUAUGAGCCAGCUUCAUUGUUGCGGUGUUGAAAGUUAUUUGGAUUUUCACGAAAGUACAAAUUGGACGACAACCAACAAAGUGGUACCAGAAGCUUGUUGCAUAAAACAAAAUGGUGAACUGCAGGAUCGCUUGUGUCCUCUCAUUCCUACGUCCACGAACUCUUAUUAUCAGAAGGGUUGUUACAAAGCGAUACUAACGAUGGUAGAAGAAAAUGCUGCAAUAGUUAUAGGAGUAGCAGCUGGUUUAGUCCUGAUCGAAGUCCUGGUUAUUAUAAUGGCCUUAUACCUGGCGUGUGUCUACUGGCGUCCGCAACAUGCUUGCGUAGAUGUGUCAUCGAGACAAGCCUGGUGAGAGAAGUGGUGAAAUGGGGAUGUGAUGGUUUGGUGGUGAAAUUUGGUUUCAAUGUUAACUUGUUGGUGCUGCUGCUGACGAGGCAUUAAGGGCAUGGAACUGUUGAGUAGUGCCUCCUAGCAAACGCACGUUGAGCCAUUAGAAGUCCUGUGCCUUGCUUGCUUGAAACGUUAGAUACUAGCCAGAUUUAGGCUAGUCAAAACGUCGGCCGACAGAAAUGAAUCCUGAUUGUAGAAUGACCACAGAUAUUCGUCAAAUCAAACUUGACAGUGAUGUAGGAGAUUUAUUAUAAUAUGUUAUUUUUUUAUAUGCAUCUAAGCAAAAUUAAAUUCCAGCUUUAUUUUGUAGUAGAAAUACAAAAAAGAAAAGUCAAAUAUCGAAGACAUAUGAUUUGUUGAGUUUAAUGUAAUUCGCUUUAGAGAUCUGUAUUGUAAAAUACAAAAAUGAUAUAUUAUUUUUUAAGAUAUUACACUCAAUCACACACACAUAUCUAUAAAAAUUGAUGUGUAUAAAUAUACACAUCAAAAAAAUUUUUUGUCCUCUCAGUUUUUUCUCGGUUUCUUUUUGAUUAAGAAACUCCUAUAUCACUGUAGAUUAUUAUCAUUUUAUGAUAUGUUGUUAAUUGUUUAAUAAUUAUUAGUAUACAAGCAUUUAAAAUCAUUUAUCAAAAAAUAUAAUAUAAUAACGAGUGAUCGCAGCAGUAUACUUCAGAUUUUGUACAUUUUAUAUUUGUGCUAUUUGAUAUAUCAUCAAUAUGCACAUGUAUUUUAAACUAUAAACUUUUUUCUUUAUCAGUUAAUAUUGUUUCUCAAGCAAACAAAUAAAAAAGUAAAACUUAAUUUAUGUACAUGAGGAUUUUAAGUGUAUGUAUCUAAAAUGUGUAGCCUUUAUUAUGUUGCUUUGCCUAUUUUGAGAUUAUUUCAAAUGUUUAUGUAUUAAAGGAAAAUGUUUAAGUGUACAGUAGUUCAGUUCAUUGCAUUUAGGCAAGUCUUAUCAUUUCAUCCAUACUAAUUUUUCACUUCUAACAGUUCGAACUCGCGUUUCCAACAAACAUACAAAAAUACAUAGUAAUAUUAAAAAAUUAUGGAAAACAUUAUAAUAUCUAUCUAUGUAGUGCUUAUGUCUCUAUAACUCCUGCCAAACUUUCAUUUAAAAAAAAAAA